AAGUCUAGCGGCGAACGGGUGCUUAACACGUGGGCAACCUGCCAGGAAGUGGGGGAUAGCUCGCCGAAAGGAGAAUUAAUACCGCAUGUGAUCAGAGAGGACAUCCUUUCGAAAUUAAAGUCGGGGCAACCUGACGCUUCUUGUGGGGCCCGCGGCCUAUCAGCUAGUUGGUGAGGUAACGGCUCACCAAGGCUUUGACGGGUAGCUGGUCUGAGAGGACG
This 221-nucleotide ribosomal RNA is filed under the name uncultured Verrucomicrobiota bacterium. RNAcentral's name for it is "uncultured Verrucomicrobia bacterium partial 16S ribosomal RNA". It matches the Rfam family "Bacterial small subunit ribosomal RNA", at positions 88 to 302 of the family's 1533-position model. Lineage: Bacteria; Pseudomonadati; Verrucomicrobiota. The record is from RNAcentral.